GUGAACGCUAGCGACGUGCUUAAGGUAUGCAAGUUGAACGAUUUGUUUUCGCAAGAAGACUUUUAGUGGCAAACGGCUUAGUAACACGUAGGAACCUACCCCUUAGUUUGGCACAACUCCGCGAAAGCGGAGCUAAUUCCAAAUGGUCUGCUCACGCAGUAAAGGCUUCGCAAGAAGCCGCUAGGGGAUGGGCCUGCGGCCUAUCAGGUAGUUGGCGGGGUAAAUGCCCACCAAGCCUAUGACGGGUAGCUGGUGUUAGCGCAUGACCAGCAAGAGGGGCACUGAGACACGGGCCUCACUCCUACGGGAGGCAGCAAUCGGGAAUUUUGCACAAUGGACGAAAGUCUGAUGCAGCGACGUCGCGUGAAGGAAGACGGCCUUCGGGUUGUAAACUUCGUUAUAAGCACCGGCUAACUACGU
This 420-nucleotide ribosomal RNA is filed under the name uncultured bacterium. RNAcentral describes it as "bacterial SSU rRNA". It matches the Rfam family "Bacterial small subunit ribosomal RNA", at positions 29 to 506 of the family's 1533-position model. The record is from RNAcentral.